GAUGAACGCUGGCGGCGUGCCUAAUACAUGCAAGUCGAGCGAACAGAUGAGGAGCUUGCUCCUCUGACGUUAGCGGCGCACGGGUGAGUAACACGUGGAUAACCUACCUAUAAGACUGGUAUAACUUCGGGAAACCGGAGCUAAUACCGUAUAAUAUAUUGAACCGCAGGGUUCAAUAGUGAAAGACGGCUUUGCUGUCUCUUAUAGAUGGAUCCGCGCCGCAUUAGCUAGUUGGGAAGGUAACGGCUUACUAAGGGGACGAUGCGUAGCCGACGUGACAGGGGGGUAGGCGGCAUGGGAAGUGAGACGCGGUCCAGGGUCCUACGGGAGGCCGCAGUAGGGAAUGUUCCGCAAUGGGCGAAAGCCUGACGGAGCAACGGCGAGUGAGUGAUGACGGCGUUGGGAUCGUAAAGCUCUGUUAUGAGUGAAGAACAACUGUGUAAGUAACUAUGCCCGGCUUGACGGUACCUAAUAAGAAAGCCACGGCUAACUACGUG
RNAcentral lists this ribosomal RNA (497 nucleotides) under uncultured bacterium. Its description in RNAcentral is "partial 16S ribosomal RNA". It matches the Rfam family "Bacterial small subunit ribosomal RNA", at positions 28 to 507 of the family's 1533-position model. The record is from RNAcentral.